Molecule: ribosomal RNA, 1291 nt
Filed under: Ochthebius paradoxus
Lineage: Eukaryota; Metazoa; Arthropoda; Insecta; Coleoptera; Hydraenidae
Description: 16S ribosomal RNA
Rfam family: Archaeal large subunit ribosomal RNA (bases 1050-1208)
Source: RNAcentral
AUUAAAUUAUUUAUUUUAUAAUAAUUUAAAUAAAAUAUUUUUAAGUUUUAUUAUAUAUUUAGAAAAAAUUUUUUUAAUUAUAGAUUAAAGUAUAGUGAUAGAUUUUUGAAAUAAAUUGAAAAAUAAAAUAUUAUAAAGAAUAAUUAAUUUUUAGUACCUUGUGUAUCAGGGUUGAUUAAAAAUAAAUUAUUUAUUUAAUUUUCUCGAUUUUAAAAGAGUUAAGAAAAUAUUUUUUUUAAUAUUAAAUAAUUAUUAAUAAUAUUUUUUUAGUAAUGAAAUGUUAGUCGUUUUUAAAUAUAUCUAGUUUUUUAAGAAAUAAAUUUAAUUUAGUUAUUAAUAAUAAUUUUUUUUUAUAUAAAAGAAAAUUAUAUUAAUAAAUAAUAUUUUAAGGGAUAAGCUUUAAAAUAAAAUUUUAUAAUAAGAUUAAUAAUAAAAAAUAUGUAGAAUUAAAAAUUUUAAUUAUUAAUAAUUUGUUACAAUUAAUUUUUACUAAAUUAUUAUUUUUAUAUUAUUUAUAUUUUUAUUAAAAUUAUUUAUUUAAUAAUAUUGAUAAAUGUAAUAAUGAUUAAAUUAGUAUUAUAUAUAUAUAUAUAUAUAAAUAUAUUAAAGUAUAUAGGUAAAAUUAAGGAAUUCGGCAAAAUAAUUUUUCGCCUGUUUAUUAAAAACAUGUCUUUUUGAUAAUAAUUUAAAGUCUAGCCUGCCCAAUGAAAAUUUAAUGGCCGCGGUAUUUUGACCGUGCAAAGGUAGCAUAAUCAUUAGUUUUUUAAUUGAAAGCUUGUAUGAAGGGCUGAACGAGAAAAUUACUGUCUCAAUUUUAUUUUAAAAGAAUUUUAUUUUUAAGUUAAAAAGCUUAAAUUUAUUUAAAAGACGAGAAGACCCUAUAGAGUUUAAUAUUUACUUAAUUUUUUAAAUAAUUUAUAAUUAUAAAAAUUUAACUAAAUAUUUUAUUGGGGUGAUAAAUAAAUUUACUAAACUUUAUUUAUUUUUUUACAUAAAUUUAUGAUUUAUUUGAUCCAAUGUUUUUGAUUAUAAGAUUAAAUUACCUUAGGGAUAACAGCGUAAUUUUUUUUGAGAGUUCUAAUCGAAAAAAAAGAUUGCGACCUCGAUGUUGGAUUAAAAUUUAUUUUUGGUGUAGAAGCUAAAAUAUUAAGUCUGUUCGACUUUUAAAAUUUUACAUGAUCUGAGUUUAAACCGGUGUGAGCCAGGUUGGUUUCUAUCUUUAAAAAAAAUAAAAUAUUUUAGUACGAAAGGACCUAAUAUUUAUAAUAUUUAUUAAUUUUUGAUUAUUAUU